This 108-nucleotide small RNA is filed under the name Escherichia coli. RNAcentral describes it as "partial RtT sRNA". It matches the Rfam family "RtT RNA", at positions 1 to 106 of the family's 130-position model. Rfam says of the family: This family represents a bacterial cis-regulatory element known as RtT RNA. The exact function of RtT is unknown although it is thought that it may be involved in changing the cellular response in relation to amino acid starvation. Lineage: Bacteria; Pseudomonadati; Pseudomonadota; Gammaproteobacteria; Enterobacterales; Enterobacteriaceae. The record is from RNAcentral.
AUUCUGCCCAAGCGGGGAAGGAUGAGAAGCUUCGACCAAGGUUCGACUCGAGCGCCAGCGAGAGAGCGUUGCCGCAGGCAACGACCCGAAGGGCGAAGCGCGCAGCGC